Molecule: long non-coding RNA, 285 nt
Organism: Harpegnathos saltator (Jerdon's jumping ant)
Lineage: Eukaryota; Metazoa; Arthropoda; Insecta; Hymenoptera; Formicidae
Exons: 3
Source: RefSeq, a predicted model, not a curated record
GAUCGCGGCACGGCAAGGUGGUUUCGCAAAGCGGUCCUGUGAUCCGUGUAAUUAUUACCUGUAAAUGUGCCAGUGCCACGACGGAGCAGCCAGGAUGUGGAAAGUUAAGAUGGAGGAUGUAGGAUAAAGGAAGCAGGACGCCAGCAGCAUGAGAGUCUAAGAGAAGCGUUGGUCGACCACAGGCGAGAUGGCGAGAGAUGACAUUCAACGCCACGCAGGGAAGAGAUGAAUACACAAAUGGCACAACAGAGGAAGACAUGAAGGAAGAUGAAAGAGGCCUUUGUC